This 2913-nucleotide ribosomal RNA is filed under the name Triticum aestivum (bread wheat). Its description in RNAcentral is "partial small subunit ribosomal RNA". The record is from RNAcentral. Lineage: Eukaryota; Viridiplantae; Streptophyta; Magnoliopsida; Poales; Poaceae.
UUGAGUUUUAUAACGGCCCAGUCAAAUCGUCCAAGCCAUGGCCAUAGAGCGCACAAUAUCCAGCUGUUGCGAAUGGUGUCAUUUAUUGGAAACUGGGUGCAAUCAAUUCUGUCUACUCCCUCCAAAGUUCCGGAGCCUUUUGAUCCCGUGCUAGAUUAGAGAUGCUGGGAAAGUUUGAGAUUUUGCCUCGAGAAGAAGCCGUCAAUCUCAAUUUCUCCCAGCCUACUUAAACCACUUGGUCGUGUUGCAAAGGAUGGCUUGAGCAGAGUUCAAAGCGGGGCUUCGUAUGAUGACCACGAAUCAUUUUUGCUCUUCGAGCGAGUUUUCGACUGCGUGUCCUUUCUUUUCUCCUCCAAUACAAGAGAUUUCUUCAAUGUAGGCGUGGAUUUCUAGACCUCCUGUGUCACCAAGGCUAUUAAUCUUGUCCAGAAGGUUUCAACUAAUGAGAAAAAGGGUUGUACUAUUCUUCAGAAUCUUGGAAAUUGUCCGCUUGAGCAAUUUUCAAGCUUUCUCAGAUUCCAUGCAAAUCCUAAGAAUAUUUUCCGGCCUUUUGUUGACAAGAUUCUUGAUCCGCUGUUGGAAUUGUUGGUUUUACUUAAUUCACAAGCAAAUUCUAUCAAGCACAAGCAGGCAGGAUCCACGUUGAAGAUUGCUCAAGAAAUUUUGUCAAACGGACUGUUUCAUCCACAACAUCUUAGUGGAUAUUUUGGGCUCAAGAAUUUGAAAGGUAUUGUCAAGGAUGUCAAAGGAAGCUACCAUAGGCAUCUAUUUGAGCGAUUCAAAGGAAUAAAAGCAGAAAGCAAGGCUGUAUUGCUUGCUGGGUUCGGUUACUUGCUUCAAUUGUUUGUUACCAGGGCUAGAAAUCAAAGAACAUCUUUAGCACCAAGGGGAACAUCCUUCAAAAGCCCACAAAAAACUAGCGAGGGCUGUGAAGAACCCCAGCAACAAGGAGAAUCCAUUUUUGAAGUGUUCAUGCAAUUUGUGGAGCCUUUGAUGUUAGAAUGUAUAUCAUAUUCGCAAAAGGACUUCUCUGAUUUAGGAGUCACAAAGCUAGUAGAAGUUCAUUGCAUGCUGAAGUCCAUCAAUGAAAUGCUAGCAACAGUUACUGAAGAGAAAAUUUAUGUCCCUACAGAGGACACCUCAGAAGGAUCUUAUCUCCAGUUCUUGCAAGAAAUUUACAGGGUCUUAAUCUUGAUGGCUGAAAAAUAUGAUUUCUGGGUGUCAGCUCUGCAUUUAGAAGAUGCAAACGUUAAGAAGAUGCUGCCUUUAAUGUUUGUGGAGAUUGUUGUUGCAGUUGGUCAUUUUCUAGAAAUAGAAUACAAGGUCAUGGGGAGUGACCUUGUAAAAUUAUGGUCAAUGAUUUUUGCUUUGUCUGCUAUCAAUGCAUCUUCCAAGGACAUCAAACCCUGCUUCCUACUAACCUCAAAGAUUUCAAGCCUUUCGUCCCAAGUGAUUCGUACAUUUAGUGAGCUUCGUCAGGUUGCGCACUCCAUUUGUACGCUGUGCAAUACUGUGAGAACAUUCAGAGCUGUUGCUGGUCCUGAUGUAGUACCAGGACCGUUUUCUGUGGUUUCUUUAUCCUCACAUAAAUGUUUCGAAUCACUGGCAACAUUGCUGAGCUCUCAAACACUGAGGGAUGCUAUUUGUACUUCCAUUAACUCAGUGCCAGAAGGACAGUCUAGUCGAUGCAUAGAGGAGCUUACAGUAGAUCUUACAGAUACAUUGAAAUGGAUGAAAAGUUGCGACGAGGUUGUAGAUUUGGAAUCACAGGGAGAGCCCCGCUUGACGUCCAGGCAGUCGGUUUUUCAUCAGAGAGCUGAACUUUUUGGAAGGUACUUAUCUGAACUAUACACAAGCGUGCUUGACUCAAUAACUGUGACCGCUUCAAAUACCACACUGGUUGCAAAAUCUGUUGAAAGGUUGGUCAACACAAUACGUCCCAACUUAAGUCAGUUGGUGAGAAAUGAAUCAAUUAAUUCAAGUGAGUUCAUUUCUUCAGUUGUAGGAAAGAACCUAUCUAACAAACAAUGUGCCAACUGGCAAAAGAUUCCUAGUUUGUCUUGGUUUUUUGCCUUCUUCUUUCGCAUAUAUACAUCAUGUAGAAGUCUGUAUCUGCAAUCUGUUGGCCUCAUGCCUCCAGAUUUAGCAAUAGAAGCAACAGAAUUAGUGGGGAAUUCAUUCAUUGUAUGCUGCGGAAAGGAAUGGACAAAUGCAUCCAAUAUUAUCGCUGAAGGCUACUUUGCUUGGAUUGUUGAAAGUGCAGGCUCCCUUUUGGAAGUCAUCGAAAUUUUAUCACAGUCCCUUCCAAAAAACCAGUCUGGUUUUACUAUGCUUUUUUACACCCUUCAUGUGAUGGCUCUGCAAAGACUCGAAGACCUUAACAGGCAGAUUAAUGCAUUUGACUUUUUGCUUGAAGAUGGCACACAGCAGUUUGAUACUGAGGAUAGGGGAAACACUGAGUUAUUAAAGGAUCCUUGCUGUCUGGAGGCUUCUCGACUAACCAGUUUUAUGAUGAACUAUGUGAGAAUAUUAUCUUCAGGAGGAACCGAUAGUAUUUCUUCCUGGGGUAUGAGUAUAUGCUCUUUAGAUGAAGAUUCUUUUCAUAUAGCAACUUGGCGGCUUCUGUGUGAAAACAUUGAUAUUUGGAGUUCUCAUGCAUCCAAGGACUUAAAGAACUUCUUUUCGAACCUGAUAAAGUUUUCUUUUGUUCAAAAGAGGUCAUGCAAUGAGGAGAGUAGUGACUGUCAAGAUUCAUACAGAGAAAUAACCUUGCAUACUAUUUCGGUGGAGCUUCUUUGUGAUACUAUCAUUUAUGACCAAAAGGUGUUAUUAAAGAAUUUGGCAUCAAGUUUUUGCAGUGCUCUCAAGAAAUCAAUAUCUUCUUUUAUCACCAGAGGAACGACUCGAUCUUAA